GAUGAACGCUGGCGGCGUGCCUAAUACAUGCAAGUCGAGCGAACAGAUGCGGAUCUUGCUCCUCUGACGUUAGCCGCGGACGGGUGAGUAACACGUGGAUAACCUACCUAUAAUACUGGGAUAACUUCGGGAAACCGGAGCUUAUACCGGAUAAUAUAUUGCUCCGCGUGGUUCAAUAGUGAAAUACGGCUUUUCUGUCACUUCUAGCUGGCUCCCCGCCGCAUUAGCUAGUUGUUAAGGUCACGGCUUACGAAGGGAACGAGGCGUAGACGACCUGAGAGGGUGAUAGGCCACACGGGAAGGUGGACACGGUCAAUGCGCCUACGGGAGGCAGCAGUCGGGAAUCGUCCGCAGUGGGCGAAAGCAUUACGGAGCAGCGCCGCGUGAGAGAUAACGGUCUUCGGAGCGUAAAGCUCUGUUAUUAGUGAAGAACAAAUGUGGAAGGAACUAUGCACGGCGUGACGGUAACGAAUCAGAAAGCAACGGCUAACUACGUG
RNAcentral lists this ribosomal RNA (497 nucleotides) under uncultured bacterium. RNAcentral's name for it is "partial 16S ribosomal RNA". It matches the Rfam family "Bacterial small subunit ribosomal RNA", at positions 28 to 507 of the family's 1533-position model. The record is from RNAcentral.